AGAGUUUGAUCCUGGCUCAGGACGAACGCUGGCGGCGUGCUUAACACAUGCAAGUCGAGCGGAAAGGCCCUUCGGGGUACUCGAGCGGCGAACGGGUGAGUAACACGUGAGUAACCUGCCCUCAACUUCGGGAUAAGCCUGGGAAACCGGGUCUAAUACCGGGUAGGACCUGCGGUGGCAUCGCUGUGGGUGGAAAGUUUUUUCGGUUGGGGAUGGGCUCGCGGCCUAUCAGCUUGUUGGUGGGGUAGUGGCCUACCAAGGCGACGACGGGUAGCCGGCCUGAGAGGGCGACCGGCCACACUGGGACUGAGACACGGCCCAGACUCCUACGGGAGGCAGCAGUGGGGAAUAUUGCGCAAUGGGCGGAAGCCUGACGCAGCGACGCCGCGUGGGGGAUGACGGCCUUCGGGUUGUAAACCUCUUUCAGCAGGGACGAAUUCGGACGUGUACCUGUAGAAGAAGCGCCGGCUAACUACGUGCCAGCAGCCGCGGUAAUACGUAGGGCGCGAGCGUUGUCCGGAAUUAUUGGGCGUAAAGAGCUCGUAGGUGGCUUGUCGCGUCUGCCGUGAAAGCCCAUGGCUUAACUGUGGGUCUGCGGUGGAUACGGGCUGGCUAGAGGUAGGUAGGGGCAAGCGGAAUUCCUGGUGUAGCGGUGAAAUGCGCAGAUAUCGGAGGAACACCGGUGGCGAAGGCGGCUUGCUGGGCCUUACCUGACGCUGAGGAGCGAAAGCGUGGGGAGCGAACAGGAUUAGAUACCCUAGUAGUCC
This 767-nucleotide ribosomal RNA is filed under the name uncultured bacterium. RNAcentral describes it as "bacterial SSU rRNA". It matches the Rfam family "Bacterial small subunit ribosomal RNA", at positions 8 to 796 of the family's 1533-position model. The record is from RNAcentral.